ACUCCUACGGGAGGCAGCAGUGGGGAAUAUUGCACAAUGGGCGCAAGCCUGAUGCAGCCAUGCCGCGUGUGUGAAGAAGGCCUUCGGGUUGUAAAGCACUUUCAGGUUGUGAGGAAGGUGGUGUCGUUAAUAGCGGCAUCAGUUUGACGUUAGCCAACAGAAGCAAGCACCGGCUAACUCCGUGCCAGCAGCCGCGGUAAUAC
Molecule: ribosomal RNA, 203 nt
Filed under: uncultured bacterium
Lineage: Bacteria
Description: partial 16S ribosomal RNA
Rfam family: Bacterial small subunit ribosomal RNA
Source: RNAcentral